Molecule: long non-coding RNA, 290 nt
Filed under: Carica papaya (papaya)
Lineage: Eukaryota; Viridiplantae; Streptophyta; Magnoliopsida; Brassicales; Caricaceae
Description: long non-coding RNA (CPAP_LNC013214)
Source: RNAcentral
GGCAUGUUCUAGCACCUCCGCAUAUGAGAUAGGUCUCAGCAUCAUGGCCGGAUCAUAGAUGCCGGCACGAAGGUCCUUUAGAAACUUCCUAACUUUUCGACUUUCGAAUGUGACCAUUAGAUGGGCGAACCUAGACAAUUGGACAAAACAGGUUGCAUACUGGGCAAUUGUUAGAUUUCUUUGGUAGAGAUCUUGAAAUUCCUCUUCCUUCUUUUCUCAGACAUAGGCAGGAAAAAAGUUAUCAAAGAGUGUACCCAUGAAAACUUCUAGGUGUUAGGGGUUAGUAGGAC